CCCAUGGAUCCGCCCCAUAGAUCCCGCCCCAUAGAUCCCGCCCCAUAGAUCCCAACCCAUAGAUCCAACCCAUAGAUCCCGACCCACAGAUCCGCCCCAUAGAUCCUGACCCAUAGAUCCCGACCCAUAGAUCCACUCCAUGUUACACUCCCAGCCCCAUAGCAAUGGGGCCCUGAGAUGGGGGGCAGUUGUGGGGUGCCCCAUAGAUCCCACCCCAUAGAUUUGCCCCAAGGAACACUCCCAGCCCCAUAGCAAUGGGGCCUUUAGGUUGGGGCAGUUGUGGGGUGCCCCAUAGAUCCUGCCCCACAGAUCCCCCCCAUAGAUCCGCCCCAUAGAUCCACCCCACAGAUCCCCCCCAUGUUACACUCCCAGCCCCAUAGCAGCGCUGGGGUCUUGUGCUGGGCGUUACCUGUGGGCUGCCCCAUAGAUCUGCCCCAUAGAUUCCGCCCCACAGAUCUGCCCCAUAGCUCCUG
This 473-nucleotide long non-coding RNA is filed under the name Phasianus colchicus (ring-necked pheasant). RNAcentral's name for it is "lncRNA (ENSPCLG00000017042.1)". Lineage: Eukaryota; Metazoa; Chordata; Aves; Galliformes; Phasianidae. The record is from RNAcentral.